This 253-nucleotide ribosomal RNA is filed under the name uncultured bacterium. Its description in RNAcentral is "partial 16S ribosomal RNA". It matches the Rfam family "Bacterial small subunit ribosomal RNA", at positions 524 to 776 of the family's 1533-position model. The record is from RNAcentral.
UACGUAAAAUCCGAGCGUUGUCCGGAAUUAUUGGGCGUAAAGGGCUCGUAGGCGGUUCGUCACGUCGGGAGUGAAAACUCGAGGCUUAACCCCGAGCCUGCUUCCGAUACGGGCAGACUAGAGAUAAACAGGAAAAAACAGAACUCCUGGUGUAGCGAUAGAAUGCGCAAAUAUCAGGAAAAACACCGGUGGCGAAGGCGGCUCUCUGGGCCUUACCUGACGCUGAGGAGCGAAAGCAUGGGUAGCGAACAGG